RNAcentral lists this non-coding RNA (314 nucleotides) under Dufourea novaeangliae. RNAcentral describes it as "Eukaryotic large subunit ribosomal RNA". It matches the Rfam family "Eukaryotic large subunit ribosomal RNA", at positions 675 to 954 of the family's 3401-position model. Lineage: Eukaryota; Metazoa; Arthropoda; Insecta; Hymenoptera; Halictidae. The record is from Rfam by way of RNAcentral.
CUAACAUGUGCGCGAGUCAUUGGGAUAUAUAAACCUAAAGGCGCAAUGAAAGUGAAGGUCGGCCUUUGCGUCGACCGAGGGAGGAUGGGCCGUGUUACGAUUUACGGCUUUGCACUCCCGGGGCGUCUCGUUCUCAUUGCGAGAAGAGGCGCACCCAGAGCGUACAUGUUGGGACCCGAAAGAUGGUGAACUAUGCCUGGUCAGGACGAAGUCAGGGGAAACCCUGAUGGAGGUUCGUAGCGAUUCUGACGUGCAAAUCGAUCAUCGGAACUGGGUAUAGGGGCGAAAGACUAAUCGAACCAUCUAGUAGCUGG